AACGCAGGGACUUUCAGGUACAAAGAGAAGUUGUUGGAGGAAACCAGAGGAGAAAAACCAGCAAAUGAAUGAUAGAGGAUGUACAACUAGACUGACAGACCACAGACUUUCAACCAACAGCAAAGUGAGAGAAAACAAAAACAGAAAUGUCUUCAAAGACAUGAACUUAAUGCUCAAGUGCUGAGUCUGAGUCCAUUAGUUACUAAGCCACUGCUCAAGCAUGAGGACAAAAUGAAGGCCGCUCCAGAUGAAGGGCUUUCCAAAGGAGCCAAUUUGGGAAGGAAUGCAAUUGGACCCAAAAUGGAGCCAGAUCAAGAAGAAAUGAUGAACAAAUGAAAUGAUGAGCCUGUUGCUAAGACUUUUUCAACCUGUGUGCUGUCAACGUGUCAGGCUCUAAAGGUCUAUGUAUUGGAGGAUGUUUAGCUGCCUUCUGAUUCCUGUCCACUAGAUGUCCUUCAUAAAUGAUUCCCAAGUUGUCUCACCAUUUACAAGCCAUUCUGUGCUAACGGACAGCAAAGAGUCUACGCCGCUCUCUUCUCGAAGUUCUACUUCGAAACUCAUGAUCUCUGCAUUUGAUGUUGAAGGAGAGCAAAGCAUGGAAGGUGCUACAGU
This 612-nucleotide long non-coding RNA is filed under the name Heterocephalus glaber (naked mole-rat). Its description in RNAcentral is "lncRNA (ENSHGLG00100050949.1)". The record is from RNAcentral. Lineage: Eukaryota; Metazoa; Chordata; Mammalia; Rodentia; Bathyergidae.